RNAcentral lists this ribosomal RNA (750 nucleotides) under bacterium. Its description in RNAcentral is "bacterial SSU rRNA". It matches the Rfam family "Bacterial small subunit ribosomal RNA", at positions 43 to 790 of the family's 1533-position model. The record is from RNAcentral.
UAGGGCCCUAACACAUGCAGUCGAGCGGUAGAGAGAAGCUUGCUUCUCUUGAGAGCGGCGGACGGGUGAGUAAUGCCUAGGAAUCUGCCUGGUAGUGGGGGAUAACGUUCGGAAACGGACGCUAAUACCGCAUACGUCCUACGGGAGAAAGCAGGGGACCUUCGGGCCUUGCGCUAUCAGAUGAGCCUAGGUCGGAUUAGCUAGUUGGUGGGGUAAUGGCUCACCAAGGCGACGAUCCGUAACUGGUCUGAGAGGAUGAUCAGUCACACUGGAACUGAGACACGGUCCAGACUCCUACGGGAGGCAGCAGUGGGGAAUAUUGGACAAUGGGCGAAAGCCUGAUCCAGCCAUGCCGCGUGUGUGAAGAAGGUCUUCGGAUUGUAAAGCACUUUAAGUUGGGAGGAAGGGCAGUUGCCUAAUACGUAACUGUUUUGACGUUACCGACAGAAUAAGCACCGGCUAACUCUGUGCCAGCAGCCGCGGUAAUACAGAGGGUGCAAGCGUUAAUCGGAAUUACUGGGCGUAAAGCGCGCGUAGGUGGUUUGUUAAGUUGGAUGUGAAAUCCCCGGGCUCAACCUGGGAACUGCAUUCAAAACUGACUGACUAGAGUAUGGUAGAGGGUGGUGGAAUUUCCUGUGUAGCGGUGAAAUGCGUAGAUAUAGGAAGGAACACCAGUGGCGAAGGCGACCACCUGGACUGAUACUGACACUGAGGUGCGAAAGCGUGGGGAGCAAACAGAUAAACCCCCGG